This 74-nucleotide transfer RNA is filed under the name Collinsella tanakaei. Its description in RNAcentral is "tRNA-Cys". It matches the Rfam family "tRNA". From Rfam's summary of the family: Transfer RNA (tRNA) molecules are approximately 80 nucleotides in length. Their secondary structure includes four short double-helical elements and three loops (D, anti-codon, and T loops). The record is from RNAcentral. Lineage: Bacteria; Bacillati; Actinomycetota; Coriobacteriia; Coriobacteriales; Coriobacteriaceae. RNAcentral also lists the same sequence under 3 other names.
GGCGACGUGGCCAAGCGGUAAGGCAGAGGCCUGCAAAGCCUUUACCCCCGGUUCGAAUCCGGGCGUCGCCUCCA